RNAcentral lists this ribosomal RNA (496 nucleotides) under uncultured bacterium. RNAcentral describes it as "partial 16S ribosomal RNA". It matches the Rfam family "Bacterial small subunit ribosomal RNA", at positions 28 to 506 of the family's 1533-position model. The record is from RNAcentral.
GAUGAACGCUGGCGGCGUGCCUAAUACAUGCAAGUCGAGCGAACAGACGAGGAGCUUGCUCCUCUGACGUUAGCGGCGGACGGGUGAGUAACACGUGGAUAACCUACCUAUAAGACUGGGAUAACUUCGGGAAACCGGAGCUAAUACCGGAUAAUAUAUUGAACCGCAUGGUUCAAUAGUGAAAGACGGUUUUGCUGUCACUUGUAGAUGGAUCCGCGCCGCAUUAGCUAGUUGGUAAGGUAACGGCUUACCAAGGCAACGAUGCGUAGCCGACCUGAGAGGGUGAUCGGCCACACUGGAACUGAGACACGGUCCAGACUCCUACGGGAGGCAGCAGUAGGGAAUCUUCCGCAAUGGGCGAAAGCUUGACGGAGCAACGCCGCGUGAGUGAUGAAGGUCUUCGGAUCGUAAAACUCUGUUAUUAGGGAAGAACAAAUGUGUAAGUAACUAUGCACGUCUUGACGGUACCUAAUCAGAAAGCCACGGCUAACUACGU